This 767-nucleotide ribosomal RNA is filed under the name uncultured bacterium. Its description in RNAcentral is "bacterial SSU rRNA". It matches the Rfam family "Bacterial small subunit ribosomal RNA", at positions 8 to 764 of the family's 1533-position model. The record is from RNAcentral.
AGAGUUUGAUCCUGGCUCAGAGUGAACGCUGGCGGCAGGCCUAAUACAUGCAAGUCGAACGGCAGCACAGCAGAGCUUGCUCUGUGGGUGGCGAGUGGCGGACGGGUGAGGAAUACGUGGGAAUCUGCCCAGUCGUGGGGGAUAACGUAGGGAAACUUACGCUAAUACCGCAUGCGCCCUUCGGGGGAAAGCCGGGGACCUUCGGGCCUGGCGCGAUUGGAUGAGCCCACGUCGGAUUAGCUAGUUGGCGGGGUAAAGGCCCACCAAGGCGACGAUCCGUAGCUGGUCUGAGAGGAUGAUCAGCCACACUGGAACUGAGACACGGUCCAGACUCCUACGGGAGGCAGCAGUAGGGAAUAUUGGACAAUGGGCGCAAGCCUGAUCCAGCCAUGCCGCGUGAGUGAAGAAGGCCCUCGGGUUGUAAAGCUCUUUUGUCCGGAAAGAAAAGCGCCGGGUUAAUACCCUGGUGUCCUGACGGUACCGGAAGAAUAAGCACCGGCUAACUUCGUGCCAGCAGCCGCGGUAAUACGAAGGGUGCAAGCGUUACUCGGAAUUACUGGGCGUAAAGCGUGCGUAGGUGGUUCGUUAAGUCCGAUGUGAAAGCCCUGGGCUCAACCUGGGAAUGGCAUUGGAUACUGGCGGGCUAGAGUGCGGUAGAGGGUAGUGGAAUUCCCGGUGUAGCAGUGAAAUGCGUAGAGAUCGGGAGGAACAUCCGUGGCGAAGGCGACUACCUGGACCAGCACUGACACUGAGGCACGAAAGCGUGG